GGGCCCGCACAAGCGGUGGAGCAUGUGGUUUAAUUCGAAGCAACGCGAAGAACCUUACCAGGUCUUGACAUACUCGUGCUAUUCCUAGAGAUAGGAAGUUCCUUCGGGACACGGGAUACAGGUGGUGCAUGGUUGUCGUCAGCUCGUGUCGUGAGAUGUUGGGUUAAGUCCCCGCAACGAGCGCAACCCUUAUUGUUAGUUGCCAUCAUUCAGUUGGGCACUCUAGCAAGACUGCCGGUGACAAACCGGAGGAAGGUGGGG
This 261-nucleotide ribosomal RNA is filed under the name uncultured prokaryote. Its description in RNAcentral is "partial 16S ribosomal RNA". It matches the Rfam family "Bacterial small subunit ribosomal RNA", at positions 917 to 1178 of the family's 1533-position model. The record is from RNAcentral.